RNAcentral lists this unclassified non-coding RNA (2905 nucleotides) under Hevea brasiliensis (rubber tree). The record is from RNAcentral. Lineage: Eukaryota; Viridiplantae; Streptophyta; Magnoliopsida; Malpighiales; Euphorbiaceae.
GUAAAGCAUGAGAUCGCUGGAGAGUGAGUACGUGCUUGGUCUUCACUAAUCACUAUUCACUGUAUUCUUCUUUCCUCAUCUUCCCGCCGGGUCUCGGCCGUUUUUAAAUGUCCUAGUUCAUAAACCCUAGAUUCUCAAGCCCACCUUCUCUCUUCUAUCUAUCCAAAUCCAACUCCGCCUUAAAAUUUUCGUCGGGAAUCGCGCUUCAUCUGAGGCUCUCUUCUCAGGCUAGAAGCUAAUGAAUUUUGAUCUUGGAAUCAAUUGAUGGGUAGAGUGUAUAAUGGAAGCAAUAAUUCCACCAAAACUUCUGAAGAGCAAGAAACUCGAACGAAAGUACUUGAAUUUUUGGUGACAAAGAAUUUUGCUCAAAAAAUUCAAAAGAUAAGGUCCAAGGGGUUUCUUUUGGAGCGACGAGUUAGCCCAAGACUUAAAAACAUACCCAAAGAUAAAAGACCAUAUUAUGGCUGCAAUCAAACGAGGCAAUUAUGUGGCAGCGGAAAAACUGAAGAUGAUGAUGAGAAGACGCAAAUUGAUUCUCCUGAAGAUAGUGCUGGCACCAACAAAGAUAAAGUUGGCAUUAAUGCAAGAAAGAACCUCUCUCAGCAUGUUCCAAAGAAAAGAUCAGAGGGAGUUUUCUUGGAGCGAAGAGUUAGCCCUAGGCUUAAAGAUAUAUCUGCAGACAAAAGACCAUAUUAUGGCAGUGUUCAGAGGCAGAAGAUACAUGGUCCUACAGAUUAUGCACGGUACAGAAAAACUGAAGAUAAUGAUUGGAAGAGGCCAUUGGAUUCUCCCAAAGAUAAUGCUGGAAAGGAAAAAACUAAAGCUGACAUUACAUUUACAAAGAACACUGUGCAACGAGUUCCAAACAUAAGGUCAGAUGGAUAUCUUUUGAAGCAAAGAGUUAGCCCAAGACUUAAAAAUACACCUGCAGAUAAAAGACCAUUUUAUGGUAGAGAUCAAAGGAGGCAGCUGGCUGCUAUUAAAUAUGACCUCCGUGAAAGAAAAAAUAAAAAUGAUAACCAGAUGAGUCUGCUACAUUAUCCUGAUGGUAAUGUUAAUGAGAGAAAAAGUAAAGUUGAUCACUUGAUACAAGAACAUCUACUUGAUUUGACUAGAAAAGAUGCUGAAGAUAGAGGUAGCAAAAGUGAUUUUGUCCUUGGCUUUGCACCUGUUGAGCAUGGUGAUACACCAAUUAUGGAUUUAAAAGAGGGAGCUCAUUUGGAAUGCGCAAGUUGUGAAAGUUUUCUUGCUGACAGUAUGCAUCAAACGUGUAGUGCAAGGGUGAUGGCUGUUUCCCCUUUGAUGUUAAAAUGCAAAGGUAUCAAUAAUUGGGGUCAGAAUUCUAGCAAGAAAGAAACUGAAAAUGACGUAUUUGAUGUUAACAUGAUAAAGAAAAUUGGGCAACAAUUUCAAAAGUUAACUCUUUUAGAGCGAAGAGUUAGUCCAAGACUUAAAAAUAUACCCAAAGAGAAAAGACCAUAUUAUGGCAGUAAUUCGAAGGUGCAGUUAAAUGCUGCUAAAGAUUAUGUCUGCAACAACAAUGAUCAGAAGAGGCAAUUCCAUUGUCCUGAAGAUAACACUAAGAAGAAAAAAACUAAAGUCAAUCACUCAACGCAGCAAAGUCUAUCAAAAGUGUCUGUGAAAAAUACAUAUGAUAGAGAUUCUGAAAGUCUGAUGGCCUCUGGUUUUGGACUUGUUAAAUGCAAAAGUAUGGAAAUAAUGAGUUUAGAAAAUGGUGCUUAUGUGAAAUCAAUGGACCAUAAGAGGUUGUUAUCCAAUCAUAUGCGUCACAAGGCUGGUGCAAAGGAUUGCAUUGAACCGGAGAGUGUGUCUAAAGAUUAUUCUAAAUUGCCAGGGUAUGGAAUCUUUGAAUGAAUAACAUUACUUUUUUUAUGUGCAUCAUAUGUAUUGUGCAAACUUACAAAAGUUUUCUAUGUUCCAAGCUUGGUGUGUGAGGACAUAUCUUAUGGUGAAGAAGAUAUACCUAUUCCUGUUACAAAUAUGAUUGAUCCUCCUAUUGCUCCUGCAGGGUUUAAAUAUACCAACUCUAUUCACAUUGCAACAAAUGUGAGCAUUCCCCCGAGUCCUUCUGGAUGCAAUUGCAAAGGAAACUGUACUAAUCCAAAGUCUUGUUCCUGUGCUCGACUUAAUGGCUCUGACUUCCCAUAUGUGCGCAAAGAUGGUGGCAGAUUGACUGAACCAAAGGAUGUGGUGUUUGAAUGUGGUCCAGGAUGUGGAUGUGGACCAAAUUGCAUCAACCGUAUAUCACAGCGGGGGUUGAAGUACCGACUUGAGGUAUACCGUACACUGAACAAGGGAUGGGCCGUUAGGUCUUGGGACUUCAUUCCUUCUGGGGCUCCAGUGUGUGAAUACACAGGAAUUCUUAGGAGGAGUGCAGAGUUAGAUAAUGUCUCAGAGAAUGAGUUCAUUUUUCAGAUUGAUUGCUGGCAUACAAUGAAUGGGAUAGGGCGAAGAGAGAGGCGACAAGGUGGUGUGUCUCGUCAUGCACGUAAUCUCAUAAAGAAAUUGGAUAAAGCAGAAACCGAGUCAGAGUUUUGCAUAGAUGGAGUUUCCUGUGGUAAUGUUACCAGAUUUAUUAAUCAUAGCUGUGAGCCUAACCUAUUUGUCCAGUGUAUUUUAAGCUCCCACCAUGACAUUAGACUUGCUCAGAUUGUGCUAUUUGCUGCAGAUGACAUACCUCCUAUGCAGGAACUCGCAUAUGACUAUGGUUUUGAACUUGAUAGUGUUAUUGGUCCUGAUGGGAAAAUAAAAAAAUUGCCAUGCUAUUGCGGUUCAAGUGAAUGUCGGGGGCGAUUAUACUAGGCACAGCAAAAGUUUCUAAAUUCAGGUUAUAUUCCAUUCACAGAGCAGUUUUGUUGAUGAUCUUCUUCUUCUUCUUCUUCUU